AGGACGAACGCUGGCGGCGUGCUUAACACAUGCAAGUCGAACGGUGAAGGCCCUUCGGGGUGGAUCAGUGGCGAACGGGUGAGUAACACGUGGGCAAUCUGCCCUGCAUUCUGGGACAAGCCUUGGAAACGAGGUCUAAUACCGGAUACGACGCAUCUCCGCAUGGAGUGUGCGUGGAAAGCUCCGGCGAUGCAGGAUGAGCCCGCGGCCUAUCAGCUUGUUGGUGGGGUAAUGGCCUACCAAGGCGACGACGGGUA
This 257-nucleotide ribosomal RNA is filed under the name uncultured bacterium. RNAcentral's name for it is "partial small subunit ribosomal RNA". It matches the Rfam family "Bacterial small subunit ribosomal RNA", at positions 26 to 285 of the family's 1533-position model. The record is from RNAcentral.